This 460-nucleotide ribosomal RNA is filed under the name uncultured bacterium. RNAcentral's name for it is "partial 16S ribosomal RNA". It matches the Rfam family "Bacterial small subunit ribosomal RNA", at positions 338 to 795 of the family's 1533-position model. The record is from RNAcentral.
CCUACGGGAGGCAGCAGUGAGGAAUAUUGGUCAAUGGGCUUACGCCUGAACCAGCCAAGUCGCGUGAGGGAAGACUGCCCUAUGGGUUGUAAACCUCUUUUGUCAGGGAGCAAUUGGCGCUACGUGUAGCGUUAUCGAGAGUACCUGAAGAAAAAGCAUCGGCAAACUCCGUGCCGGCAGCCGCGGUAAUACGGAGGAUGCGAGCGUUAUCCGGAUUAAUUGGGUUAAAAGGGUGCGUAGGCGGAAUGCCAAGUCAGCGGUAAAAUCGGGGGGCGAAACCUCGAUCCGCCGUUGAAACUGGCAGUCUUGAGUGGAGGAGAGGUAGGCGGAAUGCGUGGUGUAGCGGUGAAAUGCAUAGAUAUCACGCAGAACUCCGAUUGCGAAGGCAGCAUACCGGCGCCCAACUGACGCUGAAGCACGAAAGCGUGGGUAUCGAACAGGAUUAGAUACCCGAGUAGUC